CUCUAAUUCUCACUCUCCCUCUUCCUCUUCGACUUCUCCUCUAGAAUUUCCAAAAUGGAGUAGUCGCACCAGCCACCACCACUUCCACCUAGCGACAGCGGCGAUGGACGACACCAGUCAAUGCCUCCUCACUAAGAGGCUCGGCAACGGCACCCUCUUCUCCUUUGACCACCUUCCCACGGUGUAGUUUCAUGACCCCUUUGAAGGCUUCGUCAUAGGGUUCGGAAACAGCAUCAAGGUCAUUGAAUGCGGAAGAGGAAAUAGAUCGCAUCUCGUUUUGGAGCAGUUGGAUAAGGUCACGCAAUAGAGACAGAGGAGGAUGAUAAAAAAAUAGAGAAUCUGCUGCUAGGUCUAGGGAACACAAAUAGGUUGGCCUCAAACCAAGUGGAUUUUUUUUCCUGAAGGAGAAUAUUGAUAGAUCCGGUGGAUCCUCUUACACACCAAGUGAAGCUAUGUGAUUUUGGAAGUGCAAAAGUUCUAGUCGAAGGUGAAGCAAAUAUAUCAUACAUAUGUUCACGAUUCUAUUGAGCACCAAAACUUAUAUUUGGAGCCAUAGAGUAUACAAGUUUGAUUGAUAUUUCGUCAGUUGGUUGUGUUCUUGCUUAACUUCUUUUGGGCCAGCCAUUAUUCCCUAGCAAAAAUGCAGUAGACCAGCUUGUACAUAUUAUAAAGGUGCUUGGCACACCCACCCAAGAGGAAGUAUGUUGUAUGAAUCCCAAUUACAAUGACUUUAGGUUUCCACAGAUAAAAGCACACCCAUGGCACAAGUUAAGGCACGGAAUAAUUGAAGAGCUAGCACAUAGAUAUAGCAAUGCAUUAGCUCCGAAGGGAAUCCGCAAAUUGCUAUAGUCCAGUGGAUCAGUAAAUGCCAUAGAAAAGAGACAACUCUUUGCCAUUAUGAUCCUCUAGAUUUGCUUGUUUAUUCUGCCAACCCAUGAAUCACUAUUUUUAUAUCACGAAGAAAUGCUUAUCCGAUUCAUAAUUCUGAAAAUGAUGCAUACAAUUGGUUCUCAUUCUCAAGAGAAUAGAACGACUCCAUCUGUUGUUGCUGCUUGCAUGGCACCCUUGCUCUUACAACCUCUACUAGCUAGAGAAUGUGAACUCGAGGAUGAAUUUGAUGCCUGUGGUGAUAGUUCGGCCCAGCUUCUUGCUUCUACUAAUAAUGCUCAAGCAAUUAUUACAACUUUGUUAGAGGAGUACGAGAAUAUAUCUGAUGUAAGAAACUCUCAAUCAAUUUGUAUUCUUUUGAUUAAUUGCUUUCUGGUUUGUGUAUGCUUACAAUUAGGAAAAGUAACUUAAGUUGUUGCAUAACCUUCAUUUAGGUUUUGUUUAGCUUGAGGUAUCAUGAUUACUCUCGAGCUCACCCCUUUUUUGUCCUUAUAUGAGAUUCUCUUGCUUGUAUCGAAGAUGCAAACUUACUAUGAAGUUUUGCCGUGGGAUUUUGAUUUUAAUCUGUUAA
Long non-coding RNA from Glycine soja, 1459 nucleotides. RefSeq lists it as uncharacterized. The transcript is spliced from 8 exons. Lineage: Eukaryota; Viridiplantae; Streptophyta; Magnoliopsida; Fabales; Fabaceae. The record is from RefSeq and is a predicted model, not a curated record.